ACGGGAGAAGGAGGAGAGGACGUCGGAAAAGAUGAUCGGAGGCGGUCCCAUUGAGCGCUCCUUUAAGAAUAAGGGUACUGCGAAGACACACCCCUUCCUCUAGCGCCAAUCCUGUUGGUGCAAAAAUUUGCCUGCAUCGGAGAAGCUGGAGUCGAGGGAGUCGCGGUCGCCAUCGGGACCUACAAAGGAAGUCUAAAUUGGAGUUGGGGU
RNAcentral lists this long non-coding RNA (210 nucleotides) under Elaeis guineensis (African oil palm). RNAcentral describes it as "long non-coding RNA (EGUI_LNC075607)". Lineage: Eukaryota; Viridiplantae; Streptophyta; Magnoliopsida; Arecales; Arecaceae. The record is from RNAcentral.